This 253-nucleotide ribosomal RNA is filed under the name uncultured bacterium. RNAcentral describes it as "partial 16S ribosomal RNA". It matches the Rfam family "Bacterial small subunit ribosomal RNA", at positions 524 to 776 of the family's 1533-position model. The record is from RNAcentral.
UACGGGGGGGGCAAGCGUUGUUCGGAAUUACUGGGCGUAAAGGGUUUGUAGGUGGCUUGUUAAGUCAGACGUGAAAUCCCUCAGCUUAACUGGGGAACUGCGUCUGAUACUGGCGAGCUUGAGUGCAGGAGAGGAACGCGGAAUUCCAGGUGUAGCGGUGAAAUGCGUAGAUAUCUGGAGGAAUACCGGUGGCGAAGGCGGCAUCCUGGACCGACAUUGACGCUGAGGAGCGAAAGCAUGGGGAGCGAACAGG